UUUUUUACACAAUCUAAAUACACUAAAGUUAAUCAAUAUGACGGCAUGCGAGACAAUUAUACUUGUUUUCUCCAGCUGUAAUUAUGACAUGAACUAGUAAAAACCAUUCAUACCCAAAAAUAAAUAAAAAAAGUGGUGCUACUUCAGCUGCCAAAGAAAAUGGCAGCUUUUGUACAAAUGUCUCUCAUAUCUACCCAAAAGUGGCAAAACACCCGAAGCUGCUUUUAUUAGAACAGCUUUUUACACAUUGUUCUUGUGAUCUUUUUUUUUUUUUAAAUCCUGUCCAAAACAUUCACAUUUCAGACUUUUCACACAAAUCUUUUUCUAAGUGGUGUUUAUUACUUCUUUGCCACAAUAUUUUCAGUCAGUUUCAUCCGAAAGUUCACACUCAAUACAACACUUUCCUAUCUACCUAAAGGGAUUUGUUCUUUUGGCUUUGUUCAUUGUAUAUCUGAGGCAUAAAUGAUU
Molecule: long non-coding RNA, 468 nt
Organism: Sinocyclocheilus anshuiensis
Lineage: Eukaryota; Metazoa; Chordata; Actinopteri; Cypriniformes; Cyprinidae
Exons: 3
Source: RefSeq, a predicted model, not a curated record